UCAUAACUUUAAAAAUGAAAUCUUGCACAUUAAUAAAAGUAUUGCAUUAAUAUGAAUUUAGAAAGAUUUACUGUAAAAAGGCACAAUUUAUUUUGGGGUCAACAGUAUCUCCUUAUGAAAUAGCUUACUAGAUACUAAAGCAGAUAGGUGGUCAGGGAAUCUCACAUGCACAUCUGGGCAGAAACAAAGUCAUGGGCAAUCACAAAAAGACCUUCCAACAAUUGUAAUCAUUCAUUUCAAGAGAAGCAAUCCUUCACUGCAUUUAAUUUAUGGCAGAUUAAAUAAAGUAUAAUUUUUCUUCUCAUUCUUUUUCAAGACUGGUCCCAAUAUGCUAAGCAGAAUAUUGUAUGAUGUCACAAAACACAUGUAUCUUGGGCUUAAGACAUGUAUUCUUACUCGUAGCCCAGUUUAUCCGAAAACAUGAAGUGGCUCAUCUUUAUUCCUUGCAGGGAUCUGUUAAUGCUUUCACAUCCUUAUUUGCCUUUUCCUUAAAGCUCUCACUAGUAAUCCACAUUUAUGGUUUAAAUUUCUCUAGCAUGCCUCACCUGCUCAACAUUCACUAAAAGGUAACCUGUCCGGCUGGUAUAGAAAACAAAGUUAGGCAGUCUUCAGACAAAAAAUAUUCCCAUUAAAAGUUAAUUGUUUUUGUUAUUAGCCAGCUCUCUGCUCAAUCCCCUUGAAAUUUGCUCAUCAAAUCUUCCUUUAUAAGCAAUAAGCUCAUACAGCAGAAUAUGUUGGUGGAAUCAGAUUUGCAGAAUUAGCAAUAGCAUUUAAUGCUCCCCUUCUAAUCUUUUAAUUAGACAGCUCCAGCCCAAACCACCUCCACCCCAAUUCUUAAAUAUGCAUUGAUGUCAGCCAGCUUUCCAAUAUGCUGGACUUCAACUGCAUUGUUGCCAAUUAAUGUUUUUAAUAAUCAACUGGCUGGGGGUAAUGUGUUAACUGAAGCGCAGCAUAUUUGAAGGGCCAUCCCAUAAUGGUAAGAAGUCUCCAGAAGCACUAAUACUCAGCCCAAAAGAAUCUCUCCAAUUUUUCCCAACCUGAUCUAGCAUUUGCAUCUUAAAUAGACAGCAGGAUUUCCAAAGCCCCAAGGACCAAGUCAAGAUCCCAUCUCCCAUUCGAUCCAGAGUGGAGAUAAUUCACCUGUGCUGGCAGAUUACCACACCUAGCAGCUUAAUAUAGAUUUUUAAUGAAAUGGGAAAGAAAGCUAACCUCUGGUCUACCAAUAUACUGGAGUAUCUAAGGGUUUGGCCUCUUCUCCCCCACAGCUUCUUAAAUUGCCUAUUUAAGAAGAAAUGAAAGCACUACAACAUUGUGCCUUGAACACCCAAUCCUUGCAGGCAAUCCAAAAGUAUGCUGUGGUUGAUGGCACCAAAAGCUAUUGGGAAAUCAAGAAGCAUAAAGAAGAUUACACAGAGCACACAAGUCUCAUCACAGCUAAACCUUGUGAGAUGCCCAUGCCCAUGCCCAUGCCUGAGAAAACCUAAAUAUUUCUACGUCCCCCAGGUUCUUCUAUAAGUACCGUAUCACUUUCUGCACAGCCUUCCCUCCAAAAGGGAAGCUGCUGCCUCAUUAAAAAUAAUGAAUUGAAUGCUUGUGUUCCAAGGAAGUUUUUGAUCAAAAUUUGGACAUUUUGCUAUUUUAAUGAAGUUCCACAAUCAUUUUUCUUCAAUACCAUUAACAUUUGCCUAUUCUACUCUUGAAUCUGCAAUCUCCCACCUCAUUUUUUUUCCUACCCAGAAUGUGUUUCUUAUAUUUUUGUCUGCAAUAAAAUUGAGCCACUUAUCUGCAGGCUGAGAGAUGUGGUUGCUAAAAACAGCAUGGGCCCAACACAGCUUUCCUGAAACUCUAUGUGGCCAACUAUUUUGCAAGAUGGAUGAUAAUAAGCUGCUGCCUUCUAAUUUAUAGCAUUAUAGAAAAGCACAUUAACAAAUCAAGUAUCAAUUAUUACAUCAGAAUUAAUGGUGCACAAAUACACAGUAAUUAUUUUUUAAAAAAAAA
Crotalus tigris (Tiger rattlesnake) is the source of this 1998-nucleotide long non-coding RNA. RefSeq lists it as uncharacterized. The transcript is spliced from 2 exons. The record is from RefSeq and is a predicted model, not a curated record. NCBI's taxonomy places the organism in Eukaryota, Metazoa, Chordata, Lepidosauria, Squamata, Viperidae.